This 72-nucleotide transfer RNA is filed under the name Camelus bactrianus (Bactrian camel). It matches the Rfam family "tRNA". From Rfam's summary of the family: Transfer RNA (tRNA) molecules are approximately 80 nucleotides in length. Their secondary structure includes four short double-helical elements and three loops (D, anti-codon, and T loops). RNAcentral also lists the same sequence under 2 other names. The record is from Rfam by way of RNAcentral. Lineage: Eukaryota; Metazoa; Chordata; Mammalia; Artiodactyla; Camelidae.
GAGGGUGUAGCUCAGUGGUAGAGCGUGUGCUUAGCAUGCACGAGGUCCUGGGUUCAAUCCUCAGUACCUGCG